UACAGAGGGGGCGAGCGUUAAUCGGAAUCACUGGGCGUAAAGCGCGCGUAGACGGUCAUGUAAGUCGGGUGUGAAGGCCCCGGGCUCAACCUGGGAAUUGCAUUCGAGACUGUGUGGCUAGGGUGCGGAAGAGGGAAGCGGAAUUUCCGGUGUAGCGGUGAAAUGCGUAGAUAUCGGAAGGAACACCAGUGGCGAAGGCGGCUUCCUGGUCCAGCACCGACGUUCAGGCGCGAAAGCGUGGGGAGCAAACAGG
RNAcentral lists this ribosomal RNA (253 nucleotides) under uncultured bacterium. RNAcentral describes it as "partial 16S ribosomal RNA". It matches the Rfam family "Bacterial small subunit ribosomal RNA", at positions 524 to 776 of the family's 1533-position model. The record is from RNAcentral.